Molecule: unclassified non-coding RNA, 215 nt
Filed under: Hevea brasiliensis (rubber tree)
Lineage: Eukaryota; Viridiplantae; Streptophyta; Magnoliopsida; Malpighiales; Euphorbiaceae
Source: RNAcentral
UCUGUACUGAAGUCAUAAGCAUCAUCCUCUUCAAUGAUUUUAUCCAAGAUAAAAGACCUUGUAGACUGUUCACCUGCUGUAGUCUCCUCAGACAGUGCCUCCCCUGUCUCUUCUGCAGCAAACAUGCCUGAGCUGUUUUCAUCAACUUCUUCAUCAACAGUUUCCUGGUCACUGUCUUUGUCAUCCUCCCUCUCCUCCUGCUUCCUUUCUUUCCG